RNAcentral lists this long non-coding RNA (3962 nucleotides) under Nicotiana tabacum (common tobacco). RNAcentral describes it as "long non-coding RNA (NTAB_LNC014303)". Lineage: Eukaryota; Viridiplantae; Streptophyta; Magnoliopsida; Solanales; Solanaceae. The record is from RNAcentral.
GGGGAUGUUUAUCUCUCUGUCUCGUCUCUUACUUUGGUUUUCCAUAGAGCUCGACCAUAUAACACCCCUAAACUCAUCCUCAAGUCCUCCAUAUUUUCAACGAUACUAUCAUCCGAGGCACGAAAUCACGAAGUAAUAACACAACAACGAUCCCCACGACGUAAGUAUUGCUAUAUAACCUCUCUUUUUCUUUGUAGUUUGAGUUUUGGAAGGUAGUUUGAAGUUAAUAAAAAUGCCUAAUUUCUGGUUUCAAGAUCUUAAAUAUCAAGUAAGGUUGAUUAAUUCAUUUCAUAAUAUUUAGAACUCACGGGACGGUGAUCGGAAGCCGUGAGUUCGAGUUAUUUGAUUUGCAAUGGACUGUUUUGUGGGCUGUUUCGUGUAGCUUUUGAGCUGUAUAUUUUGCUGCUAUUUAAUGGAGUUUUUGGAGGAUAAAUGGUGUGGAGAAACACCACAUAUUGGUGAAAUAAUGGAUUAGUCAUUCUUUAUAAUACUUUCGAGGUGUUGGACACUACUAUAGUCGUUGUUUUUGGUAUGAAUUGAUUGGGGUAUGUUGGGCUGUUGUAAGUUAAAUAUAACAUGGAUUUCGACUUGCAUCUACUAUAGGAGGUAAUUAUAUUGUGUUCCAACAAGUUCUUAAGGUUAUAUUGACAUCGGUUGAGUUAAAUGGAUGAACUAGACAUGAACUAGUGAAUAAAGUUUCCAAUUAAGAAUAAUUGGAGUUGUGGAUCAUUUUCUUUGUUAUGGAUAUAUGAUAUAAGGCUGGAAUUACUGAUGAAUGACUUCAUUAUCAUGUUAAUGAUACUAUUAAGUUAAAGUAAAAAGUCUAUAAGGGAUGAUAUGGGGUAUACGAAUUCCAAUUGGAGCUUGUCGCUCGUCGUAAAAUAGUUAUGACUUGUUGUUGUUUUAUGGUGUCUUGUUAUUGAUGAUUAUGUAUUUCUGGAUUUCUCUGGUAAUUUUUGUGGGUAUAUUAUAUUGGAGGAGGCUCUUGUUACAGGGGAGAUGCUGCCCGAAUUUAUAUAAACGAGCUACAAGUUUAAGUUGCAGAUUUAGCCUUUGUUCAACACUGAUUUUGAAUCUCCUUAUGUAAUGGUGGAUUGAGUUGAGUUGUUUGAAGAGUAGCUUGGGAGGUAUUAAGGACUCACCAUGGUUAAGGUAUGUUAAGGCACUUUUUCUUUCUUUUGGCAUGAUCUAAAUUGAAAUGAACAUAAACGAUACACUAUUUCAUAAUGAAUCUACUCCUAGCAAAUAAGGUUGUACAUGUUGUUAUUUCCGUACAAAGUUAUUCUAAGAAGGUAUGUAUGAUCCUAGAGUCCUAGUGAAGUUCAUAUUGAUGGUAUGAUGUCCAUAAUGCUAAUCAAAGGUGAAACGACCUUACGUCACUCUGAAAGGUUUAGAACGUGAUUCCAUGAGUCUAGCAUGCAUUAUAUAUAAUAUCUAUUUUGAUCUACCGAGCUGCACUAUAGUAGGACAGGUACGACACCUAUUUUGCAACCACUGAUUAGUUGGAUUUACCGAGCUCCACGUGGCCGGGUACGUUUUUACCGAGUCCUCUUUGAGGCCGUGUACGAUAUGAUGAUGCCUACAGAGACGUAUGUUUUUAAAAGUUUAUGUAUAUAUAUGUAUUAUGCACUUCAUGUCAGUAGCUCCCAGAGGCACGCAGAUGUUACAGGUUGUAUAUCCUCUAUCUCUCUUUACAUUAAUGUUCUUGUUUUUGCUUUCCUGCCUUACAUACUCGGUACUUUAUUUGUACUGACGUCCCUUUUGCCUGGGGACACUGCGUUUCAUGCCCGCAGGUCCCGAUUGAUAGGUUGACAGUCUUCCUAGUAGGCUAUCAGCUCAGCGGAGGUGUUGGUGCACUUCACUUGCUCCAGAGUUGCCUAUUUGGUCAGUAUGCUUUGGAUAUGUAUUGAUUGGUAUGGCGGGCCCUGUCCCGACCUUUAUGAUUUUAUGUACUCUUAGAGGUUUAUAGACAGAUAUCAGGUUUAUGGAUACGUGUAUGGCCUUAUUGGCCUAUGUGUUGAGUUUACAAAUGGUCAUGUCGUCCUUAUAGACCUGUAUGUCACAUGUAUAAGUUUGUAUAUCAUGUUGGAUCGUCAUAUGUUGAGUAUUCCCUUAUGAUUUAUUCUUGCUAUCUCAUGACGGGUUUCUGGCUCAUUUACUUAAGAUAGUGUAAUAAGAAAGAUAUGUUAUGUUGGCACUCGGUUGAGUUAGGCACCGGGUGCCCUUCACGGCCCUUCGGUUUGGAUCGUGACAUUAUUCCUCAAUUCUUGCACAAAAACUUGAAGAUUGUCAAGUAAAGUUCACUAAGUUUUCACCUUAAAGGUAAGAAUUUAUGCCCUAGCUCUUAAUUUCGAAAUUUCUACUAAAAUGGGUAAUUAGCAAGAUGGUUCAUGGGCUGAGGGUUGUUUGUUUUGCAUGUAUGGGUGAUAAAAGAAUGUAGAAAGAAUGUGAGCUAGAAAUGGUAAAGGAUGGGGUGUGAGUUGAUAGAAUCUUUCACAAAAAGGUCUUAAAAACAUAAUGCGCACCUAGUGCUUGAUAAUGUGCUCAAAUGAGCUAGAGUCUUGAUCAUCCUUCUAAUUCUUGAAUCAACUUGUGACAUUCCUACAAUAGAUUGAAGGUGCUAAGGGUUCGGGAAUUUAUUGUAGAACUUAAGGAAAGCUCUAUUGAGGCAUGUAUAGCUAAAACCCCCUCUUCUUAGAAAUUAAACCCCCUUGGUGUCCAUGCAAUUGGUGUAAGUUCCAAAAUUGAUUGAUGAAUAAAUUGCUAUUCCAAAUGUGCUUGUGUUGCAAGAAUAUAUGUGCAAUAUGUAUUUCAAUGCUCCCAUUAUGCUAUCUUGUCAUUUGAGGAUGUGUUAAAGAUAUGGAAUAUGUGCUAAAAUGCCUAGACUUCAAGUCGAGUUUGAAUAAAGAUUGUUAUGCCAAAGUAUGUGAAAGCCUCUAUAUACCUAUGAUCUGUAAUUGCUCUCGUGUGUACUCAAUAUCUUAAAUUGAAAGGCUUGUUUGUUGAAAAUUAUAAUAAUGUGAAAUGUGGGAAAGAACUUGCAUUAUGAAAUACGCCAAGAGCCAAGGUAUAAUAUAACAAUUGUGGUCACUAGGGCCGAUGACUUGAUAUAUGUGAAAGAAAUAUGAAAUGAGAGGAUCGAUGGAAAAUGGUAAUAUCUUGGGUGAGACGGCCUAGCCGAUCGGGCCGUGAUCGGACGCCAUGCCGCAUAUAUGGUGGUAGUGUGCUGGAAACUGAAAUUGAAAAUUGAAACUGGAAUUGUGAUUGUGGUGAAUGUCUCCAAUGAGACGACCUAGCCGAUCGGGUUGUGAUCGGACUCCGUAUAAAAGUACGGUGGUAUUGUGAAUGAUGAGGUAUAGAUACUAAUGAUGUCCCAAUUUAAAGCUAUGGAAAAUUCACUUGAAAGCUUAUGUGAUCCUUAAAUUUGGUGCUGUGGUGUUGUUUAAGGCCUUUAUUGAGUUUAUGAUUACUUCCUUCGUGUAUUAUUAUUCUUUCUAAGGAGAUGGUAUUUAGUUAUACAUACUAGUACCAUUCAACGGUACUAACGUCGCUUUUGCCGGGGACGCUGCGUCUUAAAUGGAAUGCAGGUGAUUCCGUAGCGGGCAUUGCUGACCAGCGUUAGCUGUACAUCAUCCUCUUCCGGCAGUAUUGGUGAGCCCUAUUUCAUUUUGGGGUUAUGCAUCUUUUGUCCAUAUUUCACCAUGUUCUGAGGUACUGCCGGGGCCUUGUUGCCGGCGUUGUUAUGACUCACUUUUGUAUCUUUAGAGGCUCCGUAGAUACUAUGUGGGUUGUAUAUGGGUAUUGGAAGGGUCAGUGGAUUGUGUUGUGUUUUGGACCCUUGUUCCUUCAAAUUGUAAAGUGUAUGUAAUUUUACAAACAUACCAAUGAUGUAACAAAUGAAUCGAUUUGGAAACGUUUACAAAUCUUCCUAUUGUAUAAUUAAUAAUAACCUGUUUUCUUGA